UUAUCAGAUAUUUGUCAGUGAGUCACAUUGAUGUUCUUUCAUGGAAGUGGGCAAGAAAAAGAUUCCUAGAGGGCUUUCUUGUGGAGCAUUAAAGUUGUGGUCAAAAACUGAAACGUAUACAAUGCCUGAGAAGUUCUGCAGUACAUUUUGACCACACAACAUGGGUUCUGUUGCUCACUUAUAAAAGUAAUGCAUUGACUAAUAUCUCUCUAUUUUUCCCAGCCUCCACCCUCAACAUAGAACCAACAGAUUCUGUAUUUAAAAUGUUCCUGAUGAGAAAUCUUGUCCUACUCAUUUUGUCACUAGCCUAUUUAAUAUGGUGUGGCCCCUGGGACAUAUACAUACUAGCAGGUUCCAUAACCAUGCCUGGGAAGAAGUUAAACUCAAUAAAUAGACCAUUCUGCAGGUAUACUGGAAGUUAAAUUCAAACAGUAAUGCCUUAUUGGAUGCAAAUUAAAUUUUAAAAACGUUUUCUAAAGCCCUUUUUAUACAGUUUCUAUUGGAUCUCUUGUAAUGUGAUUCUUAUUAAAACCAGAUAAGAUAUAUGUUAGAGGAUUCUUCUAUGAAUAAAACUCAUAUCACCUUC
Cebus imitator (Panamanian white-faced capuchin) is the source of this 586-nucleotide long non-coding RNA. RefSeq lists it as uncharacterized. The transcript is spliced from 2 exons. The record is from RefSeq and is a predicted model, not a curated record. Lineage: Eukaryota; Metazoa; Chordata; Mammalia; Primates; Cebidae.